AGGAUGAACGCUGGCGGCGUGCCUAACACAUGCAAGUCGAACGUCCUGUCUCGCAAGAGGCAGGGAGUGGCGGACGGGUGAGUAACACGUGAAUAAUCUACCUCCGAGUGGGGAAUAACUGAGAGAAAUCUUAGCUAAUACCGCAUAACACUUACGAGUCAAAGCAGCAAUGCGCUUGGAGAGGAGUUCGCGGCAGAUUAGUUAGUUGGCGGGGUAAUGGCCCACCAAGACGAUGAUCUGUA
This 242-nucleotide ribosomal RNA is filed under the name uncultured bacterium. Its description in RNAcentral is "partial small subunit ribosomal RNA". It matches the Rfam family "Bacterial small subunit ribosomal RNA", at positions 26 to 285 of the family's 1533-position model. The record is from RNAcentral.